GAGGAACAUGGGGGACAUAGGGGAUGUAGAACAUAGGAGACAUAGAUAUGGAUGAACAUGGGACAUGGAGGGACAUGUGGGGACAUGGAGGGACAUGGGACAGGGGACAUGGACAUGGGAAUAUGGAGAAAUAUGGAGGAACGUGCGGAGACAUGGAAGAACAUGGAGAACACGGGAGAUGUAGGAAGUGUAGAACAUGGGGGACAUGGAUAUGGGGGGACAUGGAGGGACGUGGGACAUGGGGGGACAUGAAGGGACGUGGGGGGACAUGGGACAUGGACAUGGGAACAUGGAGGAACGUGGAGAGACAUGGAGGAACGUGAGGGACAUGGAGGAACGUGAGGGACAGGGGAUGUAGAACAUGGGGGACGUGGAUAUGGGGGGACAUGGAGAGACACAGGACAUGGGGGGACAUGAAGGGACGUGGGGGGACAUGGGACGUGGGGGACGUGGAGAGGCGGGGGGACAUGGAGGGACAUGGGACAUGGAGAUGAAGGACACGGAGAACACGGCACAUGGAGGGACAUGAGACAUGGGGGAACAUGGAGGAACGGGGAGAACAUGGAGGGAUGGGGGAACGUGGACACGGAGGAACAUGAGACAUGGGACAUGCGCAACAUGGAAGAAGAUGAAGGACACGAGAAACAUGGAGAACAUGGAACAUGGAUAGGGAGGAACACAGAGGAUGUGUGGGACACGUGGGACAUGGAUAUGGAUGGACAGGAGAGAUAUGGGGGGGAUAUGGAGGAACAUGGGAUACGGAGGAACACGAGAGACACGGAGGAACAUGGAGGAACGGGGAGAACACGGAGGAACAGAAGCAACAUAGAGGGACAUGGGACACGUGGGACAUGGAAGAACAUGGAGAGACACGGACGUAGGACAUGAGAAACAUGGGAGAACAUGGGACGCGGAGGGAGACGGACACAAAAGACACGGAAAACGGCAAAGUGGGGGCGCGGCGGCUGCGGGGGCUGCUGGGGACGCUGCCACCCGCCCUCCUGGGUCCCCUGGGCCACCCGGGGGGACCGGCGCCCGUCCCCUUGGCCACCCUGCGCCCCGGACCCAACCCCGGCAAGGUCCUGCUGGGCCGGGUGCUCUUCAGCCUCACACCUCACGAGCGGGUGCCCUUGUGAGUACACGCGUGUGCGGGGGACGCGGGGACACGGUUUGGGGUGGGGGACAAAGGGUCGCGUCCCCCCCAUGGGUGUCCGUGUCCCAUCCCGGUCACCCAAUGUCAUUCCCAGCCCCAUAUAUUGGGAUCGAGGCCCUUCGGGAGGGCGACACGGGCUGACACGCGUGUGCGGGGACACGUGUGCGGUGCGGGGACCCUCAUAGCACGUGGUCGUGUCCCCACACGUGUCCCCAUGUCCCAUCCCGGCCGCCCCACGUCCUUCCCGGCCCCGUAUCUCGGGAUCGAGGCCCUUUGGGAGGGCGACACGGGCUGACACGCGUGUGCGGGGACACGUGUGCGUCACACGGAGCCUCCCAACACGUGGUCGUGUCCCCACACGUGUCCCCGUGUCCCAUCCC
This 1533-nucleotide long non-coding RNA is filed under the name Apteryx haastii (Great spotted kiwi). RNAcentral describes it as "lncRNA (ENSAHAG00000005352.1)". Lineage: Eukaryota; Metazoa; Chordata; Aves; Apterygiformes; Apterygidae. The record is from RNAcentral.